Molecule: ribosomal RNA, 274 nt
Filed under: uncultured bacterium
Lineage: Bacteria
Description: partial 16S ribosomal RNA
Rfam family: Bacterial small subunit ribosomal RNA
Source: RNAcentral
AUACGGAGGGUGCGAGCGUUACUCGGAGUCACUGGGCGUAAAGCGUCCGUAGGCGGUCGGGUAAGUCGGGUGUGAAAGCCCCGGGCUCAACCUGGGAAGUGCACCCGAUACUGCUCGACUCGAGUGCGGGAGAGGAUGGCGGAAUUCCCGGUGUAGCGGUGAAAUGCGUAGAGAUCGGGAGGAACACCAGUGGCGAAGGCGGCCAUCUGGCCCGCAACUGACGCUGAGGGACGAAAGCGUGGGGAGCAAACAGGAUUAGAUACCCCAGUAGUCC